UCAUGUUUAAAUUCUGCAUUUCAUCUUGUACCUCUUUUGAAGUGUAGUAUCUAUAGUAUCUUGAUAUUUAGAUCAAAACUUCUGUUUUAACAUUCUGUUCCACAUAUGAGAGAACAGUGCAUAUCAGCUCCAGAAACUCUGAGGAGAUCAUUGAGAGAAGAUAUGCAGGCUAGGUGUUGACGUGUAGCUAAAAUUUUAUUUAGUCAUUUUGAAACAGAGAUUAGAAGCAAAUAUGACAAAAUUGUAAAUAUAUUGCUCAAUUUUAAUGGUGGGUAUGUGUAAGAAUGCCCUGUCCCAACCAUCUUCAUACACACACAGUACAUUACCGAACUUCUGGGUCCUUUAUAUUUCAGUGAGUAAAAUAGUCUGUGUAAUUUUAAUUUGCAUAUCUCUUAUUUAUAAGUUUGGCUUCUCGUCUUUCCAUAUGUUUAAGAACCAUUUUUCAUUUUCUAGACACUUUGAAGUCAAUUGAUCCACUUGUUAAUUUAAAAAUUAAAGGUAGAAGUAUAUUUACUCUUCUGAGCUAACAAUAAUAAAAGAUGUAAGAAUGGAAAGUGGCCCCUAGAGAAAGGGACUCUGGGAGACUGUCACUUUGUAUACACUUGUCUAUCAUUUGAAAAGAAAUUGUACAUAUGAAUCCAUACUGCUCUGAUAAAGGAAACAAACAAACAAACAGAGAUCAGGCCAUGCUGAACUUUCGAUCAGCUAUCUUAUACUUUAUGCUUUAGGGAUAAAGUCUUACAAUGCAAGCUCACAUUGCUUGACAUUGCUACCCAGCUCACGAUUGUCAGUUACAGGCUCCAGAACAGAAGUCACUUCCUGGCAGGUGGACAGGAUGGGGUCGGAUGGGAGAGGCUGAUACGUGGAAGCGGGCAAAUGCUGAGAAACAUCUCAGUGAGGGAUCGUGUCUCAAACAGCUCUGCUCUCUGAAUUGCCAGCAGUCCCUGCACGGGAAAUCACGGGUCUGUCCAGUAUCUUGAUAAGCCUUGCCCAGCCACCAGUUUUCACUCCAGCUCCUGGAUGCAUCUCCUGAUUGAGAGGAUAGAGAAGUGUCCUCUGGUGUCACUCAAUCUCAGAAAGACUCCCCUUCUGCCCAGGUCAGCUCUCUACCUCAACCAGGAGACUGGAGGAAGAAUGUAAAAAUACAAUUGGGAACAAGAUGGCCGGACAGGAGGCCCCUGACUUUCCCUCUUCUCAUGAAGGAUCAAUUCCCUCUGAGAGAAAUCCGGAAACAAGUUGAGUGACCCUACACACCAGGAGACAGGGAAAAUGAGAACUUAUUUUUGAUCAUGAGAAUGAAGGAAAGAAAAAGAGAAGGAAAAGAAGAAGAGCUAGGAAGAUGGCAGAUGGCUGGCUGGGUACCAAGUAGGGCAAAGGCCCAGUGAGAAACCUCUAGUGAGAGAAAAUGGACAUGUUUAUUUAUAAAGAGAGUAUUCAUUUAUGUGAUGUAAUAUAUGCCCUCUUCCCAUGACCCUCACAUUGUCAAUGAAGUUUACACCACAGUUAACAAUAAAACUGUGGCCACCCAGGAUCCUGGAGAAGCUGAGACAAGAGGGAGUGAAUUCAGUAUGAGAAGCAAGUGGAUCCAAAAGCAAGUGGUGUGAGAGGUGGACUGUAGCGGGUGCUGUCAGAAUGCCUGAAUUCCUUUUUCCAGUUUGUUGUUCUCAUCCCCUAGCUGCCAACUGAAUUCCUGCUAACAGCUCACACUUGGAAUCCACCAACCAAUUGUCCUUGGGGGACCGGAGCCACCUCCAACCCAGGCUGCCUGUAACGAAUGACUGCCCAGUGUUGGCGCGUGUACAGAAGCCCAGCUCCCUUGACCCCAGAUGGGACAAACUCUGGUAUAAUUUACACUCCAGAGCUCCCUGUAUGAUCAUGCCAAGGCUAGACUUCACUGAAAUCAGAUUCUUGCUCAGCCUCUUCCCCUUCUGCAUCUGACUUUCCCCAUUCCUCACAGGUUUCUCCUGAGAGCACAGGAAUCCCCACGUUGGAUUCUGCUUCUAGAGAUCCUGACCUGAGACUACAAACUGAUUUUGAUUUCAAUGUGAACACAAAAAUUUAAGUGAAACUUAAAUUGAAGUAAUGACCAGUGCAAUUUGAAAGUCAUCCUCUAGACCACUGAGUCCCAGCCCUGUGAUUGAAAUCACCUAGCAGAUUUCUUAUAAUGUCAUUUCCUAGGUCCAAUCCUAAGACCUCCUUAACCAAAACUCUGCAAGUGUGACUUAGGAGUGUCCAUUUUUUUUAAGUGCUCCUUGUAUUUAUGGUUAUUAAGGUUUUGGAACCCAUUCGUUUAAACAAAUCAUUUGCAUUGGAUGCUAUCAAUAUACCUCUAUAUGACCUUGUGAGAUGUGCAAGAUGAAACUUUGAGGUCGCUCCCAAUACUACAUGUCUGCAAUUCAGUUAACUAUUCAUGAUAAACCAAAUCCCUUGCUCGAAUAAAGAAGUGAUCUUGAUUUUAAAUCAAA
Long non-coding RNA from Manis pentadactyla (Chinese pangolin), 2465 nucleotides. RefSeq lists it as uncharacterized. The transcript is spliced from 3 exons. Lineage: Eukaryota; Metazoa; Chordata; Mammalia; Pholidota; Manidae. The record is from RefSeq and is a predicted model, not a curated record.